This 685-nucleotide long non-coding RNA is filed under the name Homo sapiens (human). Its description in RNAcentral is "HSALNT0293739". Lineage: Eukaryota; Metazoa; Chordata; Mammalia; Primates; Hominidae. The record is from RNAcentral.
UUUGUGUUCAAAUAGCAUGCAUUUCUUCUUCCUAACAGGAACAAGAUGUCUCCAGAGUUAAAUACAUGAAUUAAAUGCAAUUUCAAUGGAUGUCCCAAUGUUUUAAAUUGAAUAACAUGACUUUAAAGAAGAUAUGGGAAACUUCAACUCCCAGAAAAAUGAAGUAGAUACAUACUUCUCUAUUCCUUCCACUAAGUACAACUGAAAACCGUGACACUAUAUAUAAAACAAACAUAAGAAGACUCUGAAAGGCAAGAAUGGGUUUUCUUUUGCCUCCUUUAUUCCAGACUUGUAACUGAAGAAGCCAUCAACCAAGAAAUUUCCAACAGACCCAGAUGGAAAAAGUCCCAGUGAAAGCCUGUUCUUUAGCCAAAGGGGCCAGAAAAGAGCAAGAUAGCAGGACAAGUGUCAUUGAGGAGAAUUUGCCUAGGAGAUGCAAAGAGAGAGAAGCCUAUACUUUGAGGGUGGAAGCCCCUCCAACAGAUCUCUGCCAUCAUGUGAGAGAGAGCCUGAGUUAGCCUGCUGGAUGGUCAAAGAUGAGUGGUGCAGCUAAGUGAAAGCCUGCUGACUUGUAGACAUAUGAGUAAGGCCAUGCUUGAUCACCUGGCUGCCAGCUGGCCUGCCAACUAAUUGCAGGUACUUGAAAGAGUCCAGCAGAGAUCAGCCACCCCAGGUCAAAUAAACA